CAGCUAGAUUGUGGACUUCUUGAGGUCAGCAGUCACGCCUUGUUAGCUCGCCAGCUACAUCAGAGCCCAGCACAAUAUUCAAUACCCAGUUGUUAUCUGUGGUCACGAGACCUCACAACUGCACAGAAAAGCACAGCCGAACUUUACUGCAAGCUGCACUCUAUGAGCACUUUGGAAAUUAAAAGAUUGCCAGCUUCCCCACUUUGGGACAAAAAACAUUUGUGCUAAA
Fukomys damarensis (Damara mole-rat) is the source of this 229-nucleotide long non-coding RNA. RefSeq lists it as uncharacterized. Lineage: Eukaryota; Metazoa; Chordata; Mammalia; Rodentia; Bathyergidae. The record is from RefSeq and is a predicted model, not a curated record. The transcript is spliced from 3 exons.